Molecule: ribosomal RNA, 506 nt
Filed under: uncultured bacterium
Lineage: Bacteria
Description: partial 16S ribosomal RNA
Rfam family: Bacterial small subunit ribosomal RNA
Source: RNAcentral
AUUGAACGCUGGCGGCAGGCCUAACACAUGCAAGUCGGACGGUAGCACAGAGGAGCUUGCUCCUCGGGUGACGAGUGGCGGACGGGUGAGUAAUGUCUGGGGAUCUGCCUGAUAGAGGGGGAUAACCACUGGAAACGGUGGCUAAUACCGCAUAACGUCGCAAGACCAAAGAGGGGGACCUUCGGGCCUCCCACUAUCGGAUGAACCCAGAUGGGAUUAGCUAGUAGGCGGGGUAACGGCCCACCUAGGCGACGAUCCCUAGCUGGUCUGAGAGGAUGACCAGCCACACUGGAACUGAGACACGGUCCAGACUCCUACGGGAGGCAGCAGUGGGGAAUAUUGCACAAUGGGCGCAAGCCUGAUGCAGCCAUGCCGCGUGUAUGAAGAAGGCCUUCGGGUUGUAAAGUACUUUCAGCGGGGAGGAAGGCGAUGUGGUUAAUAACCGCAUUGAUUGACGUUACCCGCAGAAGAAGCACCGGCUAACUCCGUGCCAGCAGCCGCGGUAA